UGGUUAAGCUAUAAAGAGCGCAGGGUGGAUGCCUUGGCACUAAGAGCCGAUGAAAGACGUGAUAAGCUGCGAAAAGCUUCGGGGAGGAGCAAAUAUCCUUUGAUCCGGAGAUAUCUGAAUGGGGAAACCUGGCUGAGCAAACCUCAGUCGGCGUAUGGUGAAUACAUAGCCAUACGUUGGGAACCCGCUGAACUGAAACAUCUAAGUAGGCGGAGGAAAAGAAAGAAAACUCGAUUUCCAAAGUAGCGGCGAGCGAAAUGGAAGGAGCCUAAACCGGCGUGCGUGCAUGCCGGGGUUAUGGACUGCAUAAAGCGAGGAGAUUCAUUAACAGAACGGUCCUGGAAAGACCGGCCACAGAGGGUGAAAGCCCCGUAUGUGAAAAUGAUAUCCAGUGAGCAGGAUCCAAAGUACCACGAGACACGAGAAACCUUGUGGGAAUUCGGGGGGACCACCCCCCAAGGCUAAAUACUCCUUAGUGACCGAUAGCGCAUAGUACUGUGAAGGAAAGGUGAAAAGGACCCCGGGAGGGGAGUGAAAAAGAACCUGAAACCCUGUGUUUACAAGCUGUGGAACCACAUUUUAGGUGGAACCGCGUACUUUUUGUAGAACGGUCCGGCGAGUUGCCGGGACUGGCAAGGUUAAGCACUUAAGGUGUGGAGCCGAAGGGAAACCAAGUCUUAA
Molecule: ribosomal RNA, 681 nt
Filed under: Hungatella sp. L36
Lineage: Bacteria; Bacillati; Bacillota; Clostridia; Lachnospirales; Lachnospiraceae
Description: partial 23S ribosomal RNA
Rfam family: Bacterial large subunit ribosomal RNA
Source: RNAcentral